Molecule: non-coding RNA, 132 nt
Filed under: Domibacillus enclensis
Lineage: Bacteria; Bacillati; Bacillota; Bacilli; Caryophanales; Bacillaceae
Description: FMN sequence
Rfam family: FMN riboswitch aptamer (RFN element)
About the family: The RFN element is a highly conserved domain that is found frequently in the 5'-untranslated regions of prokaryotic mRNAs that encode for flavin mononucleotide (FMN) biosynthesis and transport proteins.
Source: RNAcentral
UUUCAUCUUCGGGGCGUGGUGAAAUUCCCGACCGGCGGUAAUAGGAUACAGUCCUUGAGCCCGCGAGCCGAUAAGGCAGGAUCUGGUGCGAUUCCAGAGCCGACAGUAUAGUCUGGAUGGGAGAAGAUGAAG